CCUUUUGAUCCGUUUUGACCCCAAUGACUGCAAAUCAGAACAAAAGAAAAUUCAAGAAAAUGCAUGCUAACAUGAUGUAUUUAUUUCAUGGGAAGAGGGGAUAUCCUCCUUUAAGAUAUGAGAUGGCCUUCACGUAAAUAGAAAAUAUCCUGGAUAGGAUCUUCUCAUUUUCCAUUCUGCUCUGCAUUAAUUAUUCACAAACUGCUGGAAUUACAUAACAGCAAGCGGCUGGAGGAAUUCUAUCUAUUUUAGGUGCUUGGCAAUUUUGAUUUGCAACAUGGGAAAUAUCUCAACAGCACAAGAAGAGUAAGAAGCCCUAUAAACGCCAGCAUACUGGGAAAUCAAGACAAACUGCUCUUUUCCAUGCUUUAUCAGAGAACUGAAUAUAAAAAAAAGAAAGAAAUGAACAAAACAACUGUGAUACCAAGAGGAAAGCCUUUCAUCAUAAGAAGAGCGAUUUCCUGAGUGGGUGAUUCUGCCUCAUGGGUGUAACUGAUAUGACAGCACCACCUAAUCUAUUUAGGUUUUCUUUCUUUCCCACCUUUCUCCAAUUCCACGGGGAAGAGCUCCAGUUUCUCCACCCUCUUCUCCAGCUCGUACUCGGCAGACGAGGCCACCGGAUCCACCUCCUCAUUCCGGCGGUCGUAAUCCUCAUUGGAUCUGCCAGCCAGCAUAGCCAAGUUGACACUCUUGACAUCUCCUAGACGACACAGGAAUGGAUGUAAGAGACUAAACAAAACCUGACAGUUUGAAGCAUAUCGAUUUGUUCACACACAAUAUUCGAUAAAAACUUCUGGAGACAGUCGUUAAAGUAAGAGCAUCCCACGGUUACCUGUUAACAACUCUGUGAAACCAUGAGUAUGAAAAUCUACACACUUUUUGCUACAGCGGAUGUGCUGUGAGGCUUGUCAUAAUGCUCAAUUCAGUUUUACUGGAGAACUUUCCCACAAUGAGGAAGUCUGCAACCCCAUGUGGAGCGUCUUUUCAGAUUAUUAAAAAAGAAAAUCUUCUGGGAUUUCAUCCAAAACACAUCCAUUUAAAUGGAAAUAUAUUCAUCUGCGCUUGCUGCAGUUUCUAUGCAGCAGUACUUGGAAUUUAAAAGCAGUGUACAGUAUCUUCACUGUGGAAAUGCCAACUUUAAAAAAGGCUUUUUUGAAUCUGUACAAGUGCUUCUUGUUUAGUAAAAAUGAAAUCAUGUACUCCCUAAAUCAUGACUGAUAAAGUUUAAAUGAAAACACCUUUUAAGUUUUGUUUCAGCAGGUGUUACAAAUUUCUAGUCUUAAUGCAACAAACUGACCAACUCUCUACACAGAGAAAAACACAUCAUGUCUGUUUGUGAAACGCCACUAUCUCUGCCAGCUUUGGAGCUCCACUGUAUAUGAGCACUGGACUGAAUGGGGGUGACAUCACCCAUGGAAAAUACCUGACUUCUGGCUCCAGCAAAGUCAAUUCCCUUACCAUUUUUUUGGGAAAACAGACGUCGCCAUGUUGAUGUCAGAUAUAGUCAGAUAUCGCCAGUAAGCAGUCAUUGGUCCGAGUUGGUCAAUUUUUCUAUGGCAACCACCCUCACCAAUCGGAAGUGAGCUUCUUGGAAUGCCACAUCCCUACCGGUUUAAAGUGGGCUUGGGAGAAUCUGUCAAUCAAACGUUUGGAAAAUUCAGUGUGGGAUUGCGUACAUUUAUUGAUGCACCUGAUUCUUUCAUUUAUAACUUGAAUAACUUCCAAUACAAAUAAAAUUCAAUUUAAAAAAAUUGGAUUAGUAAGAACAUGUUAUAAAGGUAUCAUAUCAAUAAUGGUUAUUCUGACAAAUAGAAUGACUAAGUGUCAGCUGUUUAUGUCUCAAUGGAAGUCUGUGGGAUUUUGGCUCUUGGAGCCAGCAGGCACUUCCUGUGUUUGAACGCGAGAGGGGUGGGGGAAGUCACUCAGUCCAGGUCUCAUAUACAGUCAAUGGCUCCAACAAACAGAUUCAGUGGCAGUGGUUUCCUUGGUUUCAAUCACAGCUGAGGUACAUCAAUUCGUUUUUUAAAAAGUGCCUGAGUGUACACACAGAUAUACAAGUAGGACAGAAGGCAGAAAAUCCAGAGUAAAAAACAGAAUGCUGCUUUGAUAGGGGAGCUCACAACCUUUGGAUGGAAAGGGAGAAAUAUCUCUAUCCAUUAACCAACCCUACAUGCACCAGCAGCUCAGUCAUCUAACUGAUGGACAGAUUAACUCUGGAAAGAUUCUAAAGUGGGGAAAAAGAGGUAAAGGCUAAACACAAAGGAAAACAGAGAAAUGAGUGCCAGUAAUAUAGGUAAAAUAUAUAUAGAAAACAAUAUAAAAAGUUAAAAAAUCUCUCGUAUUAAUCAUUAGAUUCAAGCUGCUGUAGAUGGUGUGGGUAUAGCAGCCAAUUGAAAACUGGAGUGGCUUGGAGUUAAAGCCCUGAGUCAUUUUGUCUAAACAGCCUUGAUGAUAUUAUACUGGGGCCUUUGCCUUCCAGACGGCGGGCUUUGCCCAGUGCCACAGGCGGUCCACUUUAGUGUACUUUCUUAUUUUGGUGUCAGUCCAGCAGAGCCUGCAGCAAAUUAACUGCCACCUGGCACAGAGGCAUAAGCAGACCUCUGUUAUUUUUUGUUUGUUUUUUCCUGCUGCAACACCUGAACACAUUUGCAUUUUGACACCUCUACCUUUGGCCACCCACACACAUAACAGCAGGCUGGCGAGCUGAGAGGUGAUGAAGAAAAGUGUCCAGAUUCUGUCAAGAAGAAGUGUUUGCUGAUGAUAGCACCAACAAAGAUUGACAGGCUUUAUGAAGAGAAAAAAAAAUCUCCACUGCUGUUAUAAGAGCAGGAAAAUACAGUCAGACUCGACUUUUUUCUUGACACAAAUCAUCCCAAAUGUGAAUGUGACACUGACAGGCAAUGCAGAGUGGAAGAACGCUGCAUGGAGAGCAGAAACAGACCUCCCACGCAGAUAGACAUUUCCUUUGAGAAACCUUUCUAAAAAUGGUUUUCUGGAAGUCUAGCCAUCGUCUCCUUGAAGCCUUAGUCACAUGCACCCAUACACAGUUGACCCUUACGGGUGCUGCAGGUUUUUGGGAUGUCCAGGCAGGUGGAGGGUUGUAGAGAGGAACGGCUUCACCUUAGUGGGAGCACAGCUGUGUCCAUCAGUUUCCUUGAGGCUCAUACAACCACCUCAAGGGAAGUCAUGAAAAUGGAAUGUACCAUUGCCAUGGAUGUGGUAAGUGUAUCAUGAAGUAUUUGUAAAUAUAAUGUAAGUUACACAACUUUUAAGGUACCAGUGAUGGUGUUGUACGUUGUUGGUAAGGUGCUAGUACUGGCUCCACACAUGGAGUGUGUAGGUGAUACGCAAGUGCCUGUAGAACACCUGUAGGAUGUCCACACAAACUACACUCUGAUUGUCUAGUUUCCUAAAUUCUAACAGUUAGGCUCCACGCAAGGAGCACAGGCAUCAGCACUAACAGGCCCCUUAGCGCAGUGGGCAGGGUUUGUUGGAGGUUAAAACAGCAGACUGUAUACUCUAUUUAAAAUACAGAUACAGCUGUAAUCACUGACAUUGCUUCUAACUGCCCAUCAUGAUGUUUCUACUUGAACUGUUCACGAAUGUACGAUUGUUUUGUUUUUGUCUUGGUACCGGUAUGUACUGUAUGUUGGAUGUUUUGAGUUAAUGUCAAUUUAUUUAUUUAUUGUGUUUUCAACAUUUUGUUAAGUGAUUUUAUUGUGUUUUACUUUUGAAUCUGUACAGUGUCCUUAAGUGUUUUGAAAGGCGCUUUUAAAUAAAAUGCAUUAUUAUUAAUAUUAAAAUUACCAGUUCUGCAGAGCAGGAACCUGCUGAAAAUCAGUUUUUAAACUGAGACAGGCCCGAUACUUUUUCAUCUUUUCCUGUUCAAUAAAUGAAUGAAAGAAUUAAUGAAUGGAUGAAUGAAUACAAAAGUCCAAAGACAAAUCUGUAUGACACCCCUGCAUCUCCCCUACAUCACCCUUGCUUACUCUUACAGUUUACAUUAGGUGUUCAAUACGACGUGUCAUAUACAGGGUGUCCAUAGGAAAAAAGGUUGAUGAACAUUUCCGUCCUUAAGCAAGCACUCUACGACUGAUAUUUCCUGCAUGACAGCUGCGUACCUUGUACACGCUUGCCCAUUUUUCUCCCGCAGACAGCCGGUUUCCACCCAUAAGGGCAGUUGUGACUAAGACCUACAUGCAGAGAUGGGCAACCCCAGGCCUCGAGGGCUGGCGUGUCUGCAUGAUUUCCAGAUACCCAAGUCAUACUCAUGACUGAUUACCUGGAUCAGGUGUGUCCAGCCAAUUAGAGCCUGCCAGAGCAGGGUAUGUUGGAAUACAUGUAGAAAUGCGCCUCUCGAGGCCUGGAGUUACUUAUCCUUAAACCAGUGGAUGCUCAUCUCAUCCACAGCAACUUUUGUGCCACAUUACUACUGAAAGUCAUGACUCCCAUAUCAACCAAGCUACUGGAGAAACUGUCUGACACAGAUUAAAACAAAGAGUGUGAGACUAUUUUAAAUCAAACAGCAAAUUAUCAUAAACGGCGAGUGGGAGGUGGGAAUACAAAGUAGAACAACAACCGGUGCUAGUUGCAGCACAUGGCCACUUACUACACUAUUCACUUAUUAGGAUGCAAAAUAAUGACUUCUACUAGAGGAACGCACAACUUUUGGUGUUUACUAUUGAUACUGUUUGCUGAACUGUCUUUAAGAUUUGGCUGGAUGGUGAGUCUGCCUUGACAAAUGAGGACAUGAGGAUGUUGCAGCAGUCGGAAACCGGCGGCGGAAGCUUUGGAAACGCUCAUGUGACUUUUAGUCUGUUCUGUUUUCCACCCGUCAUAGCAAGCGACUUGUAAAUGUGAAUAGCACGAGAACAGAUUGGGUAAGUGAGUGGGCGCGGGGUGAUACUUCAUGACACAGACUGCUAUGUGGCAACUGACCACCCUCAAAAACCACAAGGCACGGCUCGCCUUUCCCAGAGCAUUAAAAAUGCAUGCUGCAGGGAGGAUUGGGUAGCACGAAACAAGCCAAACAAAAAUACAUCUGCAUUCAUUAUUAAACGAAUAAGAUACUAAUACGCACAGUUUUCAAAGCUGAACCGGUCAGAGAUGAAUAGAGCAGAAAAUGAAUGGGAAUCUUUAAAUUAGUACUGAAAAUAAUCUGUUGCUUAAAGAUGUUUGUGAUAGAUCGUGGCCAUGCUCACACAGAAGGCACCACUGACGAGGAAAACACAGAUCACUGUACAUGUUUGAACUCCAUAUUUGUUCACUUCAAUUACAUUUCUUUAGACUACAGACAAAAGCAAGCACACCACACCUCUUUUCAACGAGGGAG
Long non-coding RNA from Oryzias sinensis (Chinese medaka), 5332 nucleotides. The record is from Ensembl. NCBI's taxonomy places the organism in Eukaryota, Metazoa, Chordata, Actinopteri, Beloniformes, Adrianichthyidae.